CCUACGGGUGGCAGCAGUGGGGAAUAUUGGACAAUGGGGGGAACCCUGAUCCAGCCAUGCCGCGUGUGUGAAGAAGGCUCUCGGGUUGUAAAGCACUUUCAGUAAGGAAGAACUCCUGGUGGUUAAUACCCAUCAGGAAAGACAUCACUCACAGAAGAAGCACCGGCUAACUCCGUGCCAGCAGCCGCGGUAAUACGGAGGGUGCGAGCGUUAAUCGGAAUUACUGGGCGUAAAGCGCGCGUAGGUGGCUUGAUAAGCCGGUUGUGAAAGCCCCGGGCUCAACCUGGGAACGGCAUCCGGAACUGUCAAGCUAGAGUGCAGGAGAGGAAGGUAGAAUUCCCGGUGUAGCGGUGAAAUGCGUAGAGAUCGGGAAGAAUACCCGUGGCGAAGGCGGCCUUCUGGACUGACAAUGACACUGAGGUGCGAAAGCGUGGGUAGCAAACAGGAUUAGAUACACUAGUAGUC
This 465-nucleotide ribosomal RNA is filed under the name Vreelandella stevensii. RNAcentral's name for it is "partial 16S ribosomal RNA". It matches the Rfam family "Bacterial small subunit ribosomal RNA", at positions 338 to 795 of the family's 1533-position model. Lineage: Bacteria; Pseudomonadati; Pseudomonadota; Gammaproteobacteria; Oceanospirillales; Halomonadaceae. The record is from RNAcentral.